CAUCCUCCAAGGCUAAAUACUCCUGACUGACCGAUAGUGAACCAGUACCGUGAGGGAAAGGCGAAAAGAACCCCGGCGAGGGGAGUGAAAAAGAACCUGAAACCGUGUACGUACAAGCAGUGGGAGCACCCUUCGGGGUGUGACUGCGUACCUUUUGUAUAAUGGGUCAGCGACUUAUAUUCUGUAGCAAGGUUAACCGUAUAGGGGAGCCGGAGGGAAACCGAGUCUUAACCGGGCGUUAAGUUGCAGGGUAUAGACCCGAAACCCGGUGAUCUAGCCAUGGGCAGGUUGAAGGUUGGGUAACACUAACUGGAGGACCGAACCGACUAAUGUUGAAAAAUUAGCGGAUGACCUGUGGCUGGGGGUGAAAGGCCAAUCAAACCGGGAGAUAGCUGGUUCUCCCCGAAAGCUAUUUAGGUAGCGCCUCGUGAAUUCAUCUCCGGGGGUAGAGCACUGUUUCGGCUAGGGGGCCAUCCCGGCUUACCAACCCGAUGCAAACUGCGAAUACCGGAGAAUGUUAUCACGGGAGACACACGGCGGGUGCUAACGUCCGUCGUGAAGAGGGAAACAACCCAGACCGCCAGCUAAGGUCCCAAAGUCAUGGUUAAGUGGGAAACGAUGUGGGAAGGCCCAGACAGCCAGGAUGUUGGCUUAGAAGCAGCCAUCAUUUAAAGAAAGCGUAAUAGCUCACUGGUCGAGUCGGCCUGCGCGGAAGAUGUAACGGGGCUAAACCAUGCACCGAAGCUGCGGCAGCGAACGUAUCACUUAAAGCGAUUCAGCGGGUUACGAUUGACGGAGCGAAGCGACGUCAAAGCGUAUACAAAGUCGAGUCGGUUUAAGGAUACGUUCGUUGGGUAGGGGAGCGUUCUGUAAGCCUGUGAAGGUGGCCUGUGAGGGUUGCUGGAGGUAUCAGAAGUGCGAAUGCUGACAUAAGUAACGAUAAAGCGGGUGAAAAGCCCGCUCGCCGGAAGACCAAGGGUUCCUGUCCAACGUUAAUCGGGGCAGG
This 1006-nucleotide ribosomal RNA is filed under the name Salmonella enterica subsp. enterica serovar Corvallis. RNAcentral describes it as "partial 23S ribosomal RNA". It matches the Rfam family "Bacterial large subunit ribosomal RNA", at positions 454 to 1378 of the family's 2925-position model. Lineage: Bacteria; Pseudomonadati; Pseudomonadota; Gammaproteobacteria; Enterobacterales; Enterobacteriaceae. The record is from RNAcentral.